GGGGGGAGCAAGCGUUGUUCGGAUUUAUUGGGCGUAAAGAGCUCGUAGGCGGCUCCGUAAGUCAGAGGUGAAAGGUCACGGCUCAACCGUGGAAACGCCUUUGAAACUACAGAGCUUGAGGCCGGGAGAGGAAAGUGGAAUUCCUGGAGUAGCGGUGAAAUGCGUAGAUAUCAGGAGGAACACCAGUGGCGAAGGCGACUUUCUGGACCGGUUCUGACGCUGAGGAGCGAAAGCAUGGGGAGCGAACAGGAUUAGAUACCCUGGUAGUCCAUGCCGUAAACGAUGGGCACUAGGUGUGGGAGGAUCGACCCCCUUCCGUGCCCGCAGUUAACGCAUUAAGUGCCCCGCCUGGGGGAGUACGACCGCAAGGUUG
This 373-nucleotide ribosomal RNA is filed under the name uncultured organism. Its description in RNAcentral is "partial 16S ribosomal RNA". It matches the Rfam family "Bacterial small subunit ribosomal RNA", at positions 527 to 896 of the family's 1533-position model. The record is from RNAcentral.